Molecule: non-coding RNA, 550 nt
Organism: Lupinus albus (white lupine)
Lineage: Eukaryota; Viridiplantae; Streptophyta; Magnoliopsida; Fabales; Fabaceae
Source: the annotation of a GenBank genome assembly
GAAGGUGAGAAGACGGAGCCGAGGAACGAAUUGCGGUUCCUCUCCCGUUUUCCUCCGACAGUGGCGGAGGCGGUUUGCGGUGACUGGGAAGGGGUAGGGUCGUCCUCCCUGCAAUAAACCGCCAUCCACGGUGGUGGCUCCUCUUCUCCAUUCGGUUUUCUUUUACCUCGGUUUAUGCUUCGAAAGGUGGAAGAGGAUGACCUUUGUUAGUGGUUCCCCACCACCACAAACAGUUGUCUAUGCAAACUUUUGUACUAACAGUGGGGUUGUGAAGGAUUCCUUGUGAAAGUUUGGACAUUAGCAUAAACAUAGAGGAUGCUACUGAAUCAAAAAAGAUAGUGCUUUAUCCAAAACCCAAGUAAGAGCAAAGAAUAUGAGUAUGUACAAGUUGGGUUUGCUUUGAGUAGUUUGGUGCGGCGAAAGCAGUGCGGAUAUCUGUUUUAUUGUAUGUGUGGUGUUGUUGUAUCAAGCUAGUUCGCAGUAUAUCUCCUUGCUAAAUGCCAAACCAAUGCCAUAAUUUCCUUUCUACUUUAUCUAAUUACACCGUGUU